RNAcentral lists this ribosomal RNA (447 nucleotides) under uncultured bacterium. RNAcentral describes it as "bacterial SSU rRNA". It matches the Rfam family "Bacterial small subunit ribosomal RNA", at positions 355 to 825 of the family's 1533-position model. The record is from RNAcentral.
UGGGGAAUAUUGGACAAUGGGCGCAAGCCUGAUCCAGCCAUGCCGCGUGAGUGACGAAGGCCUUAGGGUUGUAAAGCUCUUUUGGCGGGGACGAUAAUGACGGUACCCGCAGAAUAAGCCCCGGCUAACUUCGUGCCAGCAGCCGCGGUAAUACGAAGGGGGCUAGCGUUGUUCGGAAUUACUGGGCGUAAAGCGCACGUAGGCGGAUGUGCCAGUCAGGGGUGAAAUCCCGAGGCUCAACCUCGGAACUGCCUCCGAUACAGCACGUCUCGAGUCCGGAAGAGGUGAGUGGAAUUCCUAGUGUAGAGGUGAAAUUCGUAGAUAUUAGGAAGAACACCAGUGGCGAAGGCGGCUCACUGGUCCGGUACUGACGCUGAGGUGCGAAAGCGUGGGGAGCAAACAGGAUUAGAUACCCUCGUAGUCCCUGAGCGGGCUGGCAAGGCGCAU